This 48-nucleotide non-coding RNA is filed under the name unclassified sequences. Its description in RNAcentral is "ssNA-helicase RNA". It matches the Rfam family "ssNA-helicase RNA". Rfam says of the family: Firmicutes, Actinobacteria (1 example). Downstream gene The record is from Rfam by way of RNAcentral.
CAGCAUAAGGCUAGUAUUACCCUUAUGCUAUGUAUGUAGCAUGUAGCA